Molecule: ribosomal RNA, 366 nt
Filed under: uncultured phototrophic eukaryote
Lineage: Eukaryota
Description: SSU rRNA
Rfam family: Bacterial small subunit ribosomal RNA
Source: RNAcentral
UACGGAGGAUGCAAGUGUUAUCCGGAAUUAUUGGGCGUAAAGCGUCUGUAGGUUGCCUAACAAGUCUGUUGUUAAAGGUUAAAGCUUAACUUUAAAACUGCAGCAGAAACUGCUAGGCUUGAGUACAGUCGAAGUAGAGGGAAUUUCCAGUGAAGCGGUGAAAUGCGUAGAUAUUGGAAGGAACACCAAUGGCGAAAGCACUCUACUAGACUUUUACUGACACUCAGAGACGAAAGCUAGGGUAGCAAAUGGGAUUAGAUACCCCUGUAGUCCUAGCCGUAAACGAUGGAUACUAGAUGUUGUGCUUAUGCAGUGUCCUAGCUAACGCGUUAAGUAUCCCGCCUGGGGAGUACGCUCGCAAGGGUG